Molecule: non-coding RNA, 206 nt
Organism: Pelobates cultripes (western spadefoot toad)
Lineage: Eukaryota; Metazoa; Chordata; Amphibia; Anura; Pelobatidae
Source: the annotation of a GenBank genome assembly
AUCCAAUACCCCACUCAAGUCCUUUUUUGGAGCCCCCAGAGAAUCUUCAUAGGGGUAGUGCAAUCCCCAUUCAAAUUGGCACAGAGUUUACACACCUAGAGCCGGGACCCAUAGGCUCAGGACCAGGUGAGCACCACAUUUACUAAUAUAUAUGUGUGCUUUUAUGACCACAAUCUACACAUUGGUUCGCUCUCCCUCUGUUUUUG